This 497-nucleotide ribosomal RNA is filed under the name uncultured bacterium. RNAcentral describes it as "partial 16S ribosomal RNA". It matches the Rfam family "Bacterial small subunit ribosomal RNA", at positions 28 to 507 of the family's 1533-position model. The record is from RNAcentral.
GAUGAACGCUGGCGGCGUGCCUAAUACAUGCAAGUCGAGCGAACAGACGAGGAGCUUGCUCCUCUGACGUUAGCGGCGGACGGGUGAGUAACACGUGGAUAACCUACCUAUAAGACUGGGAUAACUUCGGGAAACCGGAGCUAAUACCGGAUAAUAUAUUGGACCGCAUGGUUCAAUAGUGAAAGACGGUUUUGCUGUCACUUAUAGAUGGAUCCGCGCCGCAUUAGCUAGUUGGUAAGGUAACGGCUUACCAAGGCGACGAUGCGUAGCCGACCUGAGAGGGUGAUCGGCCACACUGGAACUGAGACACGGUCCAGACUCCUACGGGAGGCAGCAGUAGGGAAUCUUCCGCAAAGGGCGAAAGCCUGACGGAGCAACGCCGCGUGAGUGAUGAAGGUCUUCGGAUCGUAAAACUCUGUUAUUAGGGAAGAACAAAUGUGUAAGUAACUAUGCACGUCUUGACGGUACCUAAUCAGAAAGCCACGGCUAACUACGUG